AAAUAGAAAUAGAACUGAGUUGCUACAUCCACGGCUUUUUUGGUCCUUCAUUUUACUGAAAUAGAUGUCUUAUCUCCCCUCAGGGGAGAGUGUUGGGACUGAUCCCAUUCAACAUGUUUGUCAGCAACGUGGACAGUGGGGUUGAUGCACCCUCAGCGAGUGUGGCGAUGACACCAAGCUGUGUGGUUCUGUCGAUACGCUGGAAGGAAGAGAUGGGAUCCAGAGGGACCAUGAAACACUUGAGAGGUGGCCAAAUGCCACCCUCACGAAGUUCAACCAAGCCAAGUGCAAGGUCCUGCCCCUGGGUCGGGGCAAUCCCAGGCACAGCUACAGGUUGGGCAGAGAAGAGAUUCAGAGCAGCCCUGCGGAAAAGGACUUGGGGGUGUUGGUCAAUGAGAGACUGAACAUGAGCCGGCUUCAGUGUGCGCUUGAGCCCAGAAACCCCCCGUGUGCUGGGCUGCAUCAAAAGCAGGGACAGCAGCAGGUCAAGGGAGGUGAUCCUGCCCCUCUGCUCUGCUCUCCUGAGACCCCACUUGCAGCACUGUGUGCAGCUCUGGUGUCCUCAGGAUCAGAAGGACACAGAGCUGUUGGAGCAAGUCCAGAGGAGGCCAUGAGGAUGCUCAGGGGCUGGAGCACCUCCUGUAUGGAGACAGGCUGAGAACAUUGGGGCUGUUCAGCCUGGAGAAGAGAAGCUGUGUGGAGACCUCAGAGCAGCUUCCAGUAUCUGAGUGGGGCUACAAGGGUGCUGGAGAGGGACUCUUCAUCAGGGACUGUAGUGACAGGACAAGGGGUGAUGGGUUCAAGCUGAAACAGGGGAAGUUCAGGUUGGAUAUAAGGAAGAAGUUCUUCCCUGUGAGGGUGCUGAGGCGCUGGCACAGGGUGCCCAGAGAAGCUGUGGCUGCCUCAUGCCUGGCAGUGUUCAAGGUCAGGUUGGACACAGGGGCUUGGAGCAACCUGGUCUGGUGUGAGGGGUCCCUGCCCGUGGAAGGGGGUUGGAACUGGAUGAGCUUUAACAUCCCUUCCAACGUAAACCCUUCUUUGUUUCUAUGAUUAAUGAAAAGGAUGCAUCAAAUUAGCUACCUAGAUACGCUCACCUGUACGGGGGAAAAAGGUGUUCGCUUUUUUUGUGUGACUGCAAAAGCAUGGUUUUGUAUCAGAGAGCCCAAAAUCACACAAAAGCUGGGGGCCUAAGCUAACAGGCUCAUGAACUGGUUUUUUGAAGUGAACUAGAGGUUAGGAAUUCACACUGGUUCUUCGGACAGAUCUCUUGACUGUACCUUAUACAAGGUAUCUCACUCAUUUAAAUCAGUCUCAGUCACAGCUUUUACUAAGCCUGGUUGUAUAUCUCUGUAAAUAAUGCUAAAUUACUGAGGCCUGUGAUAGAGAAUCCUUACAAGUGGUAUGGGAAAGUCUUACACAUUUAGAAUAGACUCUGAUAGUUCAAGGUAUAUUUUCCUUUGUGUAUGGUUGAGUACCGAUCUCUUGGAUCUUUCUCAUAAUAGCUUUGAUUACUAGGUGUUGGCAUGUGAGUGACUUAAGAGUUUGAUAUUUCAGCAAGCUCUCUCUUAAUCAACUGCUGCUUUAUAUGCUAUUUGUACUAAAAAGCUAAUCCAGUGACCUAUCAUUGAUCAGAAAAACCCAUGUGUUUAUGAUACCUUAAAAAUAAAGCACUGCACAUGGAGUUUUAACCAGGCUACAUCAAAUACGGCUGAAUCAACACAGGUUUAGCUUUUUAGUGCAGUGAUUUUGCUUGCCAUUUUUCUAGCCUACAUAAGAGAAUAACUUUAAAAUCUCAAAAGAACACAGCCGCAAUGGCUGCAAAACCACAACACCAUCAGAGGUGUGAAAAUGAUGUCUGAACAGGGUUGACCCAGAUGUUUUCAGUGAUAAACAUAUGCUAUAGACAUUUAAGUUAUUGAAACAUACGAGUAAGUAAAAAUAUUCACUGUUCUACAGACUACAGCAUCUCUUUUCUGUUUUAGAAGCAGGCUUUUUCUGCCCUUUAGGAGUUUUACUGAGAUAAAAAGCUUCCAUAAUUAGUAAGACUGGUGGACAAAUAGGAUUGGGGUUCCCCUUAAAGCUCAGAUGCUACAAAGCACUUGAGCAUGUAGAAAAGAUGAAAUGAAAGGGGAAUACUCGUGUUCUUAAGAUCACAGUAUUAAUUUAGGACAAAUUGUCCUUCCUAGCAUUUCCUGUAUUCCCCCUAAAAUAUGUGGGUUUGGACAACUGUGUAGACAGGAAAUUAAAACUGAGGAUUUUGAUUUCCAUCAGAGCAAUUUCUGUUUCUCUGCUCCUCUAGAUAGCCUCAUAAAUAUUAUUUUUCAAAGAAGCAACUGUUUUAAGCAGCCCCAAAGAGGUUUUACAUUGCCAUGUGCUUGUGAAAGCAGGAAGUAAAAUAGGGAAAUCUCUGCUUAGCAAACCACUUGGUUGAAGUUAUUCAGUUUUGUCAUAUUAAGCCCCACUUUUGGACUACAUCCCCGUGGGAACUGGAACAGAAGUAUGCUGCAACUUCUAAUAUACAAGAUCUUCAGCUGCAUGUAAGACCCUGCACAUCUGUUACUUUCUGGACUUUGCAUAUGCCUUUAAAACACACAUCAGUAUAAGCAGAAACUGGUUACUUUCAGCAUCAUUUGGAUGUUUCCAAGUGACAAGCAGCUUCCAGAGGGAAGAUGUGGAACUGAAGAGAUUGGUGGCCCAGUGCCUCAGCAGCUUAUCAAGACUUGCUAUCCCAUCACCGAGAAGGGACCACACUUCAGCAAAUGAGAAUAAACCAGAUUUCAGCUACUGUAGUGAGCUGUGCUCCACAUUCAAGGAGACAACAGAGAACACAGUGUCUGGUAGCUCUGCUGGUACGUUCAGUUAUAGACUUUGCCAAUAGAUUGUAAUAAUGUUUUGUGUUAUACAAGCCAUUAAAGUUGGUUAACUUUCUUGUGUUAGACUUCUUGAUCUCCCCCCGUUAACUGAACAUAAAUUCCCUAUCUAAUGAAGACAAAUUCCUCUUCAUAACAGGUUGCUGAAAGAGUAGGCAGGAUGAAGUCAGGGGUUUACAAGUGGACUAAGAACCAGCAUGAUCAGAUAACACAGGACCACCAAGAUGACUCCAGUGUUCUUAACUGCUUGCCACUAAUAAUCUAAUGCUAAAUAUGCUAGUUUGGUCAUC
Pezoporus flaviventris is the source of this 3160-nucleotide long non-coding RNA. RefSeq lists it as uncharacterized. The transcript has 2 exons. The record is from RefSeq and is a predicted model, not a curated record. NCBI's taxonomy places the organism in Eukaryota, Metazoa, Chordata, Aves, Psittaciformes, Psittacidae.